CCUACGGGAGGCAGCAGUGGGGAAUCUUAGACAAUGGGCGCAAGCCUGAUCUAGCCAUGCCGCGUGAGUGAUGAAGGCCUUAGGGUCGUAAAGCUCUUUCGCCUGUGAUGAUAAUGACAGUAGCAGGUAAAGAAACCCCGGCUAACUCCGUGCCAGCAGCCGCGGUAAUACGGAGGGGGUUAGCGUUGUUCGGAAUUACUGGGCGUAAAGCGCACGUAGGCGGAUUGGAAAGUUGGGGGUGAAAUCCCGGGGCUCAACCCCGGAACUGCCUCCAAAACUAUCAGUCUAGAGUUCGAGAGAGGUGAGUGGAAUUCCAAGUGUAGAGGUGAAAUUCGUAGAUAUUUGGAGGAACACCAGUGGCGAAGGCGGCUCACUGGCUCGAUACUGACGCUGAGGUGCGAAAGUGUGGGGAGCAAACAGGAUUAGAUACCCUGGUAG
This 438-nucleotide ribosomal RNA is filed under the name uncultured bacterium. RNAcentral's name for it is "bacterial SSU rRNA". It matches the Rfam family "Bacterial small subunit ribosomal RNA", at positions 338 to 793 of the family's 1533-position model. The record is from RNAcentral.